ACAAAAGGCUCAGUUGUUCUUGUCA
This 25-nucleotide non-coding RNA is filed under the name Cricetulus griseus (Chinese hamster). Lineage: Eukaryota; Metazoa; Chordata; Mammalia; Rodentia; Cricetidae. The record is from RNAcentral.